AACGCGAAGAACCUUACCUGGCCUUGACAUCCACGGAACCCCUGAGAGAUUGGGGGGUGCCUUCGGGAACCGUGAGACAGGUGCUGCAUGGCUGUCGUCAGCUCGUGUCGUGAGAUGUUGGGUUAAGUCCCGCAACGAGCGCAACCCUUGUCCCUAGUUGCCAGCACGUAAUGGUGGGAACUCUAGGGAGACCGCCGGUGACAAACCGGAGGAAGGUGGGGAUGACGUCAAGUCCUCAUGGCCCUUACGGCCAGGGCUACACACGUACUACAAUGGUGGGUACAAAGGGUUGCCAAGCCGCGAGGUGGAGCCAAUCCCAGAAAACCCAUCUCAGUCCGGAUCGGAGUCUGCAACUCGACUCCGUGAAGUCGGAAUCGCUAGUAAUCGCGGAUCAGCAAUGCCGCGGUGAAUACGUUCCCGGGCCUUGUA
Molecule: ribosomal RNA, 429 nt
Filed under: uncultured Gammaproteobacteria bacterium
Lineage: Bacteria; Pseudomonadati; Pseudomonadota; Gammaproteobacteria
Description: bacterial SSU rRNA
Rfam family: Bacterial small subunit ribosomal RNA
Source: RNAcentral